UUAAACUGCAUGCAAAUUUCCACUUACCUCGGGGUGGGGUGGAGCGAUGACGUGUGGGACAUAACACGCACCUCUCAGCAAGAGAUGCGCCGUCAAAUCGAUGAACCUAGCCACAACGAUUUGUCACGGCGUGAGGAUUAAUGCAGCGAAGCUGUCUUUAAUGCUGGGUUUAUUGGUAAUACUCUAAAGCUGAGAUUAAAUAAGCUGCCACUGAAUUUUGUCUGCCCGGGAUCGUGGAGAGAAAUACCAGAAGGAAGGCUUCAGUAACAGAUGACAGAACUUAUAUGCAGGCUAGUAUAAAUUUAAAAAAAUAACACACUGCAAAUACAAGACAUUUAAUAUGCUUAAUUGUCUC
Pelobates cultripes (western spadefoot toad) is the source of this 355-nucleotide non-coding RNA. The record is from the annotation of a GenBank genome assembly. NCBI's taxonomy places the organism in Eukaryota, Metazoa, Chordata, Amphibia, Anura, Pelobatidae.